GGAGCAGGCCGUGCGGCCGCGGGCGCUUGCGCUCGAGGAAAGUCCGGGCUCCGUAGGGCAGGGUGCUGGGUAACUCCCAGUGGGGGCGACCCCGAGGACAGGGCCACAGAAAGACACCGCCUCCGCAAGGAGGUAAGGGUGCAACGGUGCGGUAAGAGCGCACCAGCGGCCGGGCGACCGGCCGGCUCGGCAUACCCCACCCGGAGCAAGGUCACGUAGGGGGAGAUGAGGCGGCCCGCCGAUCCCCGGGUAGGCUGCUUGAGGUGCCGGGUAACCGGCAUCCGAGAGAGAUGGCCGCACUCGACAGAACCCGGCUUACAGGCCUGCUCCCAUG
Molecule: RNase P RNA, 334 nt
Filed under: Candidatus Segetimicrobium genomatis
Lineage: Bacteria; Bacillati; Candidatus Sysuimicrobiota; Candidatus Sysuimicrobiia; Candidatus Sysuimicrobiales; Candidatus Segetimicrobiaceae
Description: Terrabacteria group bacterium ANGP1 RNase P RNA component class A
Rfam family: Bacterial RNase P class A
About the family: Ribonuclease P (RNase P) is a ubiquitous endoribonuclease, found in archaea, bacteria and eukarya as well as chloroplasts and mitochondria. Its best characterised activity is the generation of mature 5'-ends of tRNAs by cleaving the 5'-leader elements of precursor-tRNAs. Cellular RNase Ps are ribonucleoproteins.
Source: RNAcentral